GCGCGACUAGCUCAGCUGGCAGAGCAGGUGACUCUUAAUCACAAGGUCCGGGGUUCGAACCCCCGGUCGCGCA
Molecule: transfer RNA, 73 nt
Filed under: Bacillota bacterium
Lineage: Bacteria; Bacillati; Bacillota
Description: tRNA-Lys
Rfam family: tRNA
About the family: Transfer RNA (tRNA) molecules are approximately 80 nucleotides in length.
Source: RNAcentral